Gadus macrocephalus (Pacific cod) is the source of this 2094-nucleotide long non-coding RNA. RefSeq lists it as uncharacterized. The record is from RefSeq and is a predicted model, not a curated record. The transcript is spliced from 4 exons. Lineage: Eukaryota; Metazoa; Chordata; Actinopteri; Gadiformes; Gadidae.
UAAAAUGGGUCCACUUAAGACAAACGAUAGGUGCUGCAUGUAGACAUAUAAAUAGGCCUUCACAUUGACCUAAUAAGUGUGUUUGCCCUAUAUUGCAAUAAUAAAGAGUCCCAUUUUAAUGGCCUAUAUUUCCUAUUGCAUAACGCACAUGCAAUAACCCAGACUACUGCAGUCAUAUCAUGGCUGUGGUGAGAUCACACGCACAACCAAUAUAAAUAUGUACAAGCUGUACCGCGCACGGCCACAUGGUGGCAGUAGGGAGCAGGGUUUCUGCUCGACUGAUUUGCUUUCACCAAUCACCGCAGGGUCACGUCUAAUCUAUAAAUCCACGCUGAACAGUGCUCGUUUCGACCAGUUGCCCACCUCCUCAAGCCAGGCCUUCUCCAGCCAGGCGCGCUGCGCAAGGUGAGAGUGAGCUAAUUACAAUAUUACUCUCUACAGUGCGCCGCCGUGUAAUGAAAUGACCGCAUCCACUUAGCUUAAAGCCAAUUUGGUAAGAUAGUGUAAUGUCACGUAGGUUGAAACACAUAAAUAACCAGCUAGUCCCUGUGUUGAUAUCAUAACAUGUUUUAUGACCACGAUGAAGCAUAGAAAUCUUCCUACAAAGGAGGCCUAGAUAAAAGAUAAAACAACCCUCUCUGUCUGUUUGAUCCAUUAGACGCAGAGACAAACGCUGGUGAAUGAGAAGAAUAACACGGGAUUGAGAGUACUCGGGGGCGGUUCGCUCUGAUGCGGGGCAGCAAUCAAUUGCUCAUUCUUACCCGGACGACAGCGGCCUGCAGCCCUCAGAGACGCUAAUUCAACCACCAGUCAGCCUGUUUGGAUCCCGGCUGGACGUUUGUAAAGAUUCACAGCGACCACGAGCCAACUCCGCUGUGUUUGAGGACCGCCCCAGGCUGCCUCGCCUCGUCCAGGAACCGCCGGGCCGCGGGGCUGAUGGCUCAUUGUGCCGCUCCCCGGUCAGCCGCAGAUUACGGGGGGAGGGGGUCUCAUGCUCAAUGAUUUGAUUGUGCUGUUCCAGUCCUAAGGAGCCUGACCAGAGAGCGUCUGCGGGCCCGCCAGAUGAUGAGGACGUCCCAGAUGAUGAGGACCUCUGAGAAGAACGCCAUCCAGCCCACCCUGCUGGGGAAUAAACUCACGGCAAGGAAGGUAGUCGCCCCGCUGGGGUGCUGGAUCUCAAAUGACCUGCCUGGACUUCUAUUUAAACCUGCUGUGGGUCCGCCGUGGGCCUGUAUACCAAUGUAGUACUGCAGGAGACGGCCCUAUGUCCGUUCCUCUUCCCCCUGUAAACCUUGGCCUCUGUCCACCAUACACUAUCCGCUUGGACACCAAGCUUGACUGGACAGUGUUCUCCAUGUCAGUCUACAUGUAGGGGCAGACUCUACCUCCUGAGGAAGUGAGCUGCCGACAUUAGAAGACCGAUGGGAGCAUGGUGCGGAUGCUCUGUGAGUAUCUUCUAGGCUUGGGUGAAUCUGGAACAGCAGCAUGACUAAACAGCUUGUUAAGUCCAACACUCUCCUGACAAUGAUCAGGAUGGCCGGCGUGUUCUGGGGUGGAACUGGACCCCCUGUAGCCGUCAGAGAAAAGAGGCUGUCCAAAACCCCUCUCUACCCUUGACAAUGACUCCGGACUGCAGUCUGAACAGAGAAGUCUGUUCAGCAGUCGACGCCUGGCAUUGAGGAGGUCCACCGGGUGGUACGGGAAAACCUUAAUUCCUGUGGACAGAGAAGUCUUUAACUCCUCUCACCACCGCCAGUCAGCAGGUCAUUCUAUACUGCACUGUCGUGGAAUUCAGUCAAUUUGAACAUUUUAGGAUUUAUCGUAUCAAGAUGAUCUGUGCUACAUACCUGUGACAAUUUAUUUAAUUUCAGUUACAUAGCUACUUCAUUUUAUAUACAAACAUUCAGCGAUGAUACAUUUCAUCAUAUUUGAUCCAUAAUUAGAAUAUGUAUAUUUAUGGAGUGUUUUGUGUUUGUAUUAAUUUUUUUAUGUUUGUUCUAUUUGCAUUGAAGUUUCUGGCUUGUGAUUAGAGACUGUCACAAAAUAAAUUCUUCCGGGAUCAAUAAAGUAAUCUGUACCUAUUUCUGUUAACAA